This is a long non-coding RNA of Brassica napus (rape), 1742 nucleotides long. RefSeq lists it as uncharacterized. The transcript has 2 exons. NCBI's taxonomy places the organism in Eukaryota, Viridiplantae, Streptophyta, Magnoliopsida, Brassicales, Brassicaceae. The record is from RefSeq and is a predicted model, not a curated record.
ACGACCAAAAACGUGUUACACAACCCACAUUAUGACUAACACAAUUUUAGUAUUCUUUUCUUCUUCAAAAUAGUGUUAAAUAUAGAGAAAUAUACAUAAUUUUCUUUAAACUUCAUUUACAUAUUUCUUUGCAAAACCAACAAUUUUUUAAACUAAUCUUUAAUAUUUUUCGUUACCCAUAAUACAUAUAACGUAAAUAAUACAUUUAUACAAAAAUUUGAUGAAAAAAAUACUGAAUUACCUAAAAAAUCUGUUUCAAAAUGGCCGAAUGAAACUCAUGAGGAAGAGAAUGUCGAAUGGUGGUUGGAGAAUAAAGAAAAAAAAGGACACAUGUUGAAGGAAGUGUGGAUGUUUGGAAGUAGGGACCGCAUGUAAAGUUGACUUAAAUGCAUGGAUUUAUAAGAAAAAAGAGGGAUCCACGCGAGUUUUAAAAUAUUUAAAAAGGGGGCGGGGGACCGCGAGUGAGAGGGAGAAUGAGAGUUAGCGAGUGAGAGAGUGAUAAAAACAUAAAAUAUUAUAAUAAGGAAGGGUAAUAGGGUAAAAGGAAAAAUGUUGAUAAAUGUGGAGUAGUUAGAAAAUGGAUGGGGUAGUUAGAAUAGAAAUUUUGUGAGUGGGGCAAAUCAGAGUACUUUCCUACAUUUGAUGAGUUGAUUGUCCAUUGUACCUUCAAACAAGACUUUCUAUUUUGUUACCGUAUCGUUACUUUCUCUCUCUUUAUUUACUCUUAGAUAUUUUCUUCAGAAAUAGUAAAUCCUAAUCUCACUGCUCUGUCUUUGAUGAAGAUCCGCAACUCGCCUAAAGACACAUUCUCUUUCGCCGAUUCAGAUCUGCCACCUUAACCCCACCGUCGUCGAUUCUUGUCACCACUGUCGGCGGACUGAGUUCUUACCGGGGUUUUCAUCGCCGACGUCGAUUGCUCUCCAGUUCCGUUUGAUAAAUCUUCAUGAGUCAAAAACUGAAAACACAUUAUCGAUCUCUGUCUCCACUUUCAAAGGAAAAUUAUUGUACCAGUGAUGCUUCUCUGCAAUUCGUUUUCUUCCUUUUUGAAGAUAUUACUAUUGACAACAAUAAUUGACGGGCCAAAUACAUGAAACAAAUCAAUUGGGCUAGAGCCAAAAGGGUAGGUAUCCCACCAAGGUGCUCGUUUCCGAUCUGAAAGUCUAUGCUGAUUUGGAUAAAAAAAAGUUUGUAGGUCUGCAAUUCCAGCAACAAACUCUUGUAGAUCUGUGCGAUUCCAGAAACAAACUAUGGAAGGAGUUUUGUUUCACUCAAUCAAAAGGUGGUGGAGUUGUCAUAAGAGAUGAGUUUGUGGUGAUUACAAUUUUGGAACACUAUCCACAAGCGCCAUCACCGACAUUGUCGUCUUCUGCUCCUGCUCCCCCAUAGUGUCUGCAACUCAGGUCGUCUUCCUCUAUUCACCACUACGAAACAGACCCAAUCAAAGCUUCAAGCCACCAACAAGUACCGUCCAAGCCGUAUCCUCUGUCAUCGUUCUCUUCUCUCACCGCCGCAUUGUGGACUCUGAGCACAAAAAGUUUAUUACUGUAAUUUUGAAAUCUUUGGAAAGUUGUGUGCUUUGGAUAUUGUCCUGAUGAUCUUUGACGACAACGUGACAUAUGUAUGAAGUAGGCUGUUGAUGUUGUGUGGGUUCUAUCGAAUUUAGAUGGCUGGUUCAACUUUUUGACAUUGGCACACAUAGAUAAAUGCUUAAUCUUUCAUAAAUUCUAGAUCUUUUCUUCUCA